This 433-nucleotide ribosomal RNA is filed under the name uncultured bacterium. RNAcentral describes it as "partial 16S ribosomal RNA". It matches the Rfam family "Bacterial small subunit ribosomal RNA", at positions 29 to 507 of the family's 1533-position model. The record is from RNAcentral.
AACGAACGCUGGCGGCAUGCCUAACACAUGCAAGUCGAACGAGACCUCCGUGAGUAGUGGCGCAUGGGUGCGUAACGCGGGGGAACCGGCACUUAGGUUCCGAAUAAUUCCCUUAAAGGGGUGCUAAUACAGGAUAAUUUACUCGGAUCAAAGAUUUGUCGCAUUUGGGUGGGCCGGCGUUGGUCUAGCUAGUUGGUAGGGUAUAAGCCUAUCAAGGCGACGAUCCAUAGCUGGUCUGAGAGAAUGAUCAGCCACUCUGGGACUAAGACACGGCGCAGAAUCCUAGGGAAGGGAGGAGAGGGUAAUACAGGAAGAUGGGCGAAGGGCUGAUCCAGCAAUGCCGCGUAAGUGAUGAUGGCGUUAGAGAUAUGAAGCUGUUUUACACGCGGUGGUACUGACGGUACCGGGAGAAUAAGCUCCGGCUAACUCCGUG